GGACUACUCGGGUAUCUAAUCCUGUUCGCUCCCCAUGCUUUCGCUUCUCAGCGUCAGUAGUGGCCCAGAGACCUGCCUUCGCCAUCGGUGUUCCUCCUGAUAUCUGCGCAUUUCACCGCUACACCAGGAAUUCCAGUCUCCCCUACCACACUCUAGUCUGCCCGUACCCACCGCAAGUUCGAGGUUGAGCCUCGAAUUUUCACGGCAGACGCGACAAACCGCCUACAAGCUCUUUACGCCCAAUAAUUCCGGACAACGCUCGCACCCUACGUAUUACCGCGGCUGCUGGCAC
This 292-nucleotide ribosomal RNA is filed under the name uncultured bacterium. RNAcentral describes it as "partial 16S ribosomal RNA". The record is from RNAcentral.